ACGUAAUUAAGGCGCAAAGGACCCAGCUCAGGCCAGACCUCUUGAUGGACAGUGUUGCAGUUACAUUGUUCUGAUGGUUCUAAAUCAUCCUGUUUCCUGAGCGGUUUAAUUUUUUAAACGUGGUAAAAGCGUAUUUUAGUGCGGUCGUCAAAGGGAAGAUAGACUCAGAAGCGUGCCUAAAUAUUAUUAAUAUUUUUGUGUGUCAGGUUUACGCGUCUCUGAACGGCAUUUUUAAGAAUUCGCAGGGUUUUACUUUUGGGGAAAGUGUAGGCUUUAGGACAAGUUGUUUCUUCCUGUGCUUUCUUUUUUCUUUGAAAAAGUCUUUGAUGGACCCUCUCCAGCCCUUAACACGGAGAUGGGUGUUUCCCCUUAGAAACUCUCUCAGGGGAGAACGGAGAUAGCUUUACCUUUCAUCAAAAAAGGAGACGUCUAGUCAGUUCUCUAAACAUUGUAAUUUGUAUAGAACAUCAACAUGAUUCGCAUGAAUUUCAGUCACCAGUGCUGUGAUGCUGAAAGACCGCCUCCAGGAUUUCAAGUUGAAAACGCAGAAGCAGCCCCGUUAUCCGUCAGGUGCACUCCCCAGUCACUCCAGCAGACCCUGCGCACCCGAGUCACUCCAGCAGACCCUGCACACCCGAGUCGCUCCAGCAGACAUGCGCACCCCAGUCACUCCAGCAGACCCUGCACACCCGAGUCACUCCAGGCAUCCUAGCUAACGAGGACUUCGAUUUCGAUUUCCAUCUGCAGGCAUCUUACCUCUCUGCCUCCUAAAAGGCCACCCGUGAGUUUCAAGGCGAGAUAGGAGGUCUUUGGGAUUUUAGGAAUGACUGUCAUGUGAUUCAGCUUUCCUUUCCUCAGUGGUUUCCUAGAUGCCAUCACAUAGGCACGCAGAAGCCUGCCGUUCCAAGGGCAGACCAGUGUGGCAAACCUCUGAAUAACAGAAACCCAGAGCUGGUUCUUAUUCCUGGAGUACUUAUUUAUUUUUUUUUAAACUAAGGGCAACUGGAUUCUAAAUAUUAUUCUGACGUCUCAUUCUCUGACUGACUUGAGAUUGUUAUCAGGUCAAGAUUUGGCAGAAUAGCUUACUUUUGAGACAAGAGGGAAGAGACCUCUCACCCCGUAGCCCUCAUCUGUGUCGUAACCAGAGAGCCUGGAGAGGAGGCUGAGCUGGCAGGACAGUGUGCACUCAUUAAUACUUCCUGCUUUUAAACCAAAAAAACCCCUCGUGAAUGUGUG
RNAcentral lists this long non-coding RNA (1236 nucleotides) under Sus scrofa (pig). RNAcentral's name for it is "lncRNA (ENSSSCG00065028186.1)". The record is from RNAcentral. Lineage: Eukaryota; Metazoa; Chordata; Mammalia; Artiodactyla; Suidae.